CACACUGGGACUGAGACCGGUCCAGACUCCUACGGGAGGCAGCAGUGGGGAAUAUUGCACAAUGGGCGAAAGCCUGAUGCAGCAACGCCGCGUGAGGGAUGACGGCCUUCGGGUUGUAAACCUCUUUUAGCAGGGAAGAAGCGAAAGUGACGGUACCUGCAGAAAAAGCGCCGGCUAACUACGUGCCAGCAGCCGCGGUAAUACGUAGGGCGCAAGCGUUAUCCGGAAUUAUUGGGCGUAAAGAGCUCGUAGGCGGUUUGUCGCGUCUGCUGUGAAAUCCCGAGGCUCAACCUCGGGCCUGCAGUGGGUACGGGCAGACUAGAGUGCGGUAGGGGAGAUUGGAAUUCCUGGUGUAGCGGUGGAAUGCGCAGAUAUCAGGAGGAACACCGAUGGCGAAGGCAGAUCUCUGGGCCGUAACUGACGCUGAGGAGCGAAAGGGUGGGGAGCAAACAGGCUUAGAUACCCUGGUAGUCCACCCCGUAAACGUUGGGAACUAGUUGUGGGGUCCAUUCCACGGAUUCCGUGACGCAGCUAACGCAUUAAGUUCCCCGCCUGGGGAGUACGGCCGCAAGGCUAAAACUCAAAGGAAUUGACGGGGACCCGCACAAGCGGCGGAGCAUGCGGAUUAAUUCGAUGCAACGCGAAGAACCUUACCAAGGCUUGACAUAUACGAGAACGGGCCAGAAAUGGUCAACUCUUUGGACACUCGUAAACAGGUGGUGCAUGGUUGUCGUCAGCUCGUGUCGUGAGAUGUUGGGUUAAGUCCCGCAACGAGCGCAACCCUCGUUCUAUGUUGCCAGCACGUAAUGGUGGGAACUCAUGGGAUACUGCCGGGGUCAACUCGGAGGAAGGUGGGGAUGACGUCAAAUCAUCAUGCCCCUUAUGUCUUGGGCUUCACGCAUGCUACAAUGGCCGGUACAAAGGGCUGCAAUACCGUGAGGUGGAGCGAAUCCCAAAAAGCCGGUCCCAGUUCGGAUUGAGGUCUGCAACUCGACCUCAUGAAGUCGGAGUCGCUAGUAAUCGCAGAUCAGCAACGCUGCGGUGAAUACGUUCCCGGGUCUUGUACACACCGCCCGUCAAGUCAUGAAAGUCGGUAACACCUGAAGCCGGUGGCCUAACCCUUGUGGAGGGAGCCGUCGAAG
RNAcentral lists this ribosomal RNA (1142 nucleotides) under Microbacterium paraoxydans. Its description in RNAcentral is "bacterial SSU rRNA". It matches the Rfam family "Bacterial small subunit ribosomal RNA", at positions 309 to 1461 of the family's 1533-position model. Lineage: Bacteria; Bacillati; Actinomycetota; Actinomycetes; Micrococcales; Microbacteriaceae. The record is from RNAcentral.